Molecule: microRNA precursor, 84 nt
Organism: Rhinopithecus bieti (black snub-nosed monkey)
Lineage: Eukaryota; Metazoa; Chordata; Mammalia; Primates; Cercopithecidae
Source: Ensembl
UAUUAGGUUGGUGCAAAAGUGAUUGUGGUUUUGGGAAUUACUUUUAACGGCAAAAACUGCAAUUACUUUUUCACUAACCUAAUA